Tulasnella sp. 332 is the source of this 91-nucleotide non-coding RNA. NCBI's taxonomy places the organism in Eukaryota, Fungi, Basidiomycota, Agaricomycetes, Cantharellales, Tulasnellaceae. The record is from the annotation of a GenBank genome assembly.
UCUUCAAUGGUAUAAUGGUAGAACUCACGCCUGUCAAGUGGCGAGACUGCUAAGAUCGCGUGCGACCUGGGUUCGAUUCCCAGUUGGAGAG